RNAcentral lists this ribosomal RNA (257 nucleotides) under uncultured bacterium. RNAcentral's name for it is "partial 16S ribosomal RNA". It matches the Rfam family "Bacterial small subunit ribosomal RNA", at positions 98 to 354 of the family's 1533-position model. The record is from RNAcentral.
CGGCACGGGUGAGUAACACGUAUGCAACCUGCCUGCCACAGCCGGAUAAUCGGGAGAAAUUCCGUCUAAUACGGUAUAAUGCAUCGACGGGACAUCCUGUUGGUGCCAAAGGUGAUUCCGGUGGCGGAUGGGCAUGCGUCGCAUUAGUUAGUUGGCGGUGUAACGGACCACCAAGACGACGAUGCGUAGGGGUUCUGAGAGGAAGGUCCCCCACACUGGUACUGAGACACGGACCAGACUCCUACGGGAGGCAGCAG